AAGUAAGGUUUUGUCCUUUGUUGGCGAGUGCUGGGGAGCAGCUUAUGCUGCUAAGAGCACUAAUAGCAAAGGGAACUAUGGGAUGGUUCUUGUUUCCCCUGAAUAUUAUACAGUUUAUUGAAAUUUGCCCUGCCAAUCCAUAUCUGGAAACAGAAAACUGUAGAAGCCAAAGGGAAACAAUCAAGACGCUGAAAACGUUAAACCACGGGAGCAGACCAGCUGAAGGUGAUAGCAAAUUCUCCUCCACAUCAAGUUUUUGGGAUGAAAUUGAACUCCUCCUGCAAGCCUCCGCCCCCCACAGAUGGGAAUUCAUUUGCUAAAAGGAGAGUUGGCAGCAAAGACCAUCCUGAGCUCUAUGGGCUGUGCCUCUUCAGGAGACAGGAUUAUUGCAAGCACUCCCUUUGCACUGAGAUAUUUAAACAGUCUUCCCGGCAAUGUUAAAGAUGUAAGGUGUGCAUGAUUAUGAAAUAUAACUAUACAAUGACUUUCACAUUUAAAAAGCAGCACCAUGCUUUCCAGCUGCAGCCACCAUACUGUCAGAGUAUGAUAUCACUAUGAGCAUUUAUUUCUGGAGAUAAAAUGUGCUGCCUCUCCAAGGCUUUUCCCUCCACACCCAACGGGCUUUGUUGUUUGAGGUAAGAGCUAUCAUUAUCUGUCAGCUCCUCCAACUCGCUGAAAAAUCCAGACCCAGAAGGCAGGCUGGUGCUUCUUGCAUUCAUGAGGAUAAGACAUGUCCACAGGUAUCCCACGCUGUUUUGACUGUACUGCUACAUAGUGUGAGCUACAUGCUAAUACUCUGGGUUUCUUGGCUAGACCCAGAUGACAUCUAAAAACAUACAAAAGAUGUGACGUAGACAAAAAUUUCCAAGAUGAUGUUGCUGAAGAUAAGAGAAAUAUUUCCCAUGUGAAUGGAACAAACACCUGCCAGCUUUCUGACUGAGCAGCAGGUUAUAAAGCAAGUACGACCCAGAAAAGUGGAGGCGUGUAGGACAUCUGAAUGAGAGGUGAGAGAUUAAAACAGCUUUUAUACAUGUGUGGCUGAGAAGCAGCUGAAUUAAACAAACUCAACCUGAAUGCCAGCAUGGUUUGCUGCCCAGCAAAAUUCAAGGCUGCAGGUAUGGAGUGAAGCUAGUGGCCUCACUGACUUCCAGAGUUGGAAGAAAAAAGCCAACGGGAGAAAAGAAGGAAGGUGAUCUGGGAGCAACAGCUGCUGUCUGCUGUCAAACUUUUCUGGAUGGGAAAGGCUGUGAGAAGAUGUGAGACCAGAAUAAGAGUAUGGUGUGGCAUGUUUGCCUUCAGGCAAAACUGUGAGGAACAGCAACAUAAUUCAGUGGGUCAAAAUUCAACCAGAGCAGCACAGUCUGGCCCUGCUGGCUCUAUUCUUUUGCUGCUACAGAUAAUGGCCAGAAGCCAUCCACUUGUGUUCUGAUCUACAUGUUCUCCAUGAUUUCUUCUCAACUAGACUUGCCUCUGAGUGUCUGUUUGCCUUGUCCCUCUUCUGAUGGGUGUUGGAUGUGGCUGACCAUUGAACUAUCUUUGGACUGUCCUUUCUUGCUCAAUCUCCUGGCAUCAGAUGCACCUUGGUGAUGGUACUGGGUUCCCCCUUGGGUUAGGAAGUCCUCACUUAGCUGCAGUCAGUGGCCUUUUUUCACGGCGACUUGCUGCUCGCUGACAGUGAUCCUUGUUGCAAAACUCCAGAAGUCACUUAGACUGAAAUGGGUCAAAACAAGAGAAGAGAAUCACGAGAGGCACCUACAGUAAUUAGGAGUUAGAUGAAAGGCUCAUAUGAUCCAAGGAUAUUCAUCCCUGUCUCCCUUCUAACUGUCAGUUCUGCCAAACAGUUUGUGCAAGUGAGUUCCACCAGCCAAAAACCCGAGCAUUUUUUCGUGUCAUUGUGUGCUUGUUAAUGCUAUACGUAUGCUUUGAAUGUUAUGAUUAUUUAUUAUUAAAUGAAGAAAAAC
Gallus gallus (chicken) is the source of this 1961-nucleotide long non-coding RNA. NCBI's taxonomy places the organism in Eukaryota, Metazoa, Chordata, Aves, Galliformes, Phasianidae. The record is from Ensembl.